Molecule: ribosomal RNA, 429 nt
Filed under: Acidobacteriota bacterium
Lineage: Bacteria; Pseudomonadati; Acidobacteriota
Description: Acidobacteria bacterium partial 16S ribosomal RNA
Rfam family: Bacterial small subunit ribosomal RNA
Source: RNAcentral
UGGGGAAUCUUGGACAAUGGGGGAAACCCUGAUCCAGCCAUCCCGCGUGUGCGAUGAAGGCCUUCGGGUUGUAAAGCACUUUUGGCAGGAAAGAAACGUCAUGGGUUAAUACCCCGUGAAACUGACGGUACCUGCAGAAUAAGCACCGGCUAACUACGUGCCAGCAGCCGCGGUAAUACGUAGGGUGCAAGCGUUAAUCGGAAUUACUGGGCGUAAAGCGUGCGCAGGCAGUUCGGAAAGAAAGAUGUGAAAUCCCAGAGCUCAACUUUGGAACUGCAUUUUUAACUACCGGGCUAGAGUGUGUCAGAGGGAGGUGGAAUUCCGCGUGUAGCAGUGAAAUGCGUAGAUAUGCGGAGGAACACCGAUGGCGAAGGCAGCCUCCUGGGAUAACACUGACGCUCAUGCACGAAAGCGUGGGGAGCAAACAGG